RNAcentral lists this ribosomal RNA (568 nucleotides) under Pantoea sp. DJM4E8. Its description in RNAcentral is "bacterial SSU rRNA". It matches the Rfam family "Bacterial small subunit ribosomal RNA", at positions 900 to 1468 of the family's 1533-position model. The record is from RNAcentral. Lineage: Bacteria; Pseudomonadati; Pseudomonadota; Gammaproteobacteria; Enterobacterales; Erwiniaceae.
CUCAAAUGAAUUGACGGGGGCCCGCACAAGCGGUGGAGCAUGUGGUUUAAUUCGAUGCAACGCGAAGAACCUUACCUGGCCUUGACAUCCAGAGAACUUANCAGAGAUGCUUUGGUGCCUUCGGGAACUCUGAGACAGGUGCUGCAUGGCUGUCGUCAGCUCGUGUUGGGAAAUGUUGGGUUAAGUCCCGCAACGAGCGCAACCCUUAUCCUUUGUUGCCAGCGGUUCGGCCGGGAACUCAAAGGAGACUGCCGGUGAUAAACCGGAGGAAGGUGGGGAUGACGUCAAGUCAUCAUGGCCCUUACGGCCAGGGCUACACACGUGCUACAAUGGCGCAUACAAAGAGAAGCGACCUCGCGAGAGCAAGCGGACCUCAUAAAGUGCGUCGUAGUCCGGAUUGGAGUCUGCAACUCGACUCCAUGAAGUCGGAAUCGCUAGUAAUCGUAGAUCAGAAUGCUACGGUGAAUACGUUCCCGGGCCUUGUACACACCGCCCGUCACACCAUGGGAGUGGGUUGCAAAAGAAGUAGGUAGCUUAACCUUCGGGAGGGCGCUUACCACUUUGUGAU